This 257-nucleotide ribosomal RNA is filed under the name uncultured prokaryote. RNAcentral's name for it is "partial 16S ribosomal RNA". It matches the Rfam family "Bacterial small subunit ribosomal RNA", at positions 521 to 776 of the family's 1533-position model. The record is from RNAcentral.
UAACACGUAGGGGGCGAGCGUUGUCCGGAAUCAUUGGGCGUAAAGAGCUCGUAGGCGGCUCAAUAAGUCGGGUGUGAAACCCUCAGGCUCAACCUGGGGACGCCACCCGAUACUGUUGUGGCUAGAGUCCAGUAGGGGAGUGUGGAAUUUCCGGUGUAGCGGUGAAAUGCGCAGAUAUCGGAAGGAACACCAGCGGCGAAGGCGGCACUCUGGGCUGGUACUGACGCUGAGGAGCGAAAGCGUGGGUAGCAAACAGG